Molecule: long non-coding RNA, 1046 nt
Filed under: Marmota monax (woodchuck)
Lineage: Eukaryota; Metazoa; Chordata; Mammalia; Rodentia; Sciuridae
Source: RNAcentral
UACUCUUUCCAUUUCUUUUUUUUUUUUUUUCCUUUAUUUUUAUGUAGUGCUGAGGAUUGAACCCAGUGCCUUACAUGUGCAAGGCAAGCGCUUUGCCACGGAGCCACAGUCCGGCCCUCUCUUUCCACUUCUUUAUAUCUGUUUUAGGUCUGCACACACUUGUCUAGUCUACCUCCAGGUCACUGGGUUUCGUAUACCUAUGUGGCAAGUUGGAGUCAGCUCCAACUGGGAAAAACCUGAUAUGUCUACAACUUGCCAACACCCACAGCCUUCAUGCUGGUGGUACUAGAGCAGUACAUAAGCUCAGUCAAUUCUGAACAGUUUGCAUGAUAGUGAACUUAUGAAAAUGUAGAAAGGUUCUUCUAUUCACCAGUUACAUGGACACCCCAUAUUUGUCCUUCUAGAAGAAAAAUGUCUAUUUCUGUCAAUGGAUCUAUAGGGCAAAGACCUCAGUCUGCAAACCAGCCCAGGUGUUAAGAACAGUUGCAAACAUAGAUAGCCCCUGGUACCAUUCACCUUCCCUAUGCCGCUGUGCCUUCAGGCCUUCUAGAACAUAACAGCACAGCCGUAUGUCUAAAAAUAGGAGAGAAUAAGUGGGGUCUGCCUGUUCUGGUAGGAGAAAAGAACGUCAAAGAAAGCAGCUGGGACUAAUGAACUCUCCAUUAGCCGUAUUCCAUUCUUUGAACCUGAGUCAAAUGUCGGUCCCCAUUAGGCAAUUGGCUUUGACAAGAGCUGUGCUAAUUACCACUUAGCAACCUUUAAUUUCUGGGUAAAAGCAAGAGGAAAAAAACUAAUGGAUUUUUCAUUUUCCAGAGAGAAAGGAAUAAAAUAAUAGUAGUCUAUUUAAAAAAAAAACUGUUAAUUACAAGAAUUAUUAAUGUGCCUUUACUCACCAGAUUGUUUAGCUGCUUAAUUUCCUAAUUAGCUGUUCAAUUCAUUUUCCUUUAGUUUGUCUCUCGCUUGCUUUAUUUUAUUUUUUAUUUUUUUGUAGACUGAGCUACAUCCCCAGUCUUUCUUUUUUUUUUCCACUUUAAUUUUGAGACAGG